This is a long non-coding RNA of Triticum urartu, 1457 nucleotides long. RefSeq lists it as uncharacterized. The record is from RefSeq and is a predicted model, not a curated record. Lineage: Eukaryota; Viridiplantae; Streptophyta; Magnoliopsida; Poales; Poaceae.
GUUCACAUUUAACAGAGUGGUCAUGGUGAAUUAAAAAAUAACAGAAACAGAGGCCCCUCUUUCAAUGUCUGAAGAUUGGUUGUCUCAUAGCGGGCUGUCAGAGGGAGAAAUUCAGUUCCAUAGCCUCAAUGUGAGAUAUACUAAUAAUGAUGCAGGUGAGAUAUACUCCAAGGCAUGAAGAUGGGUAUUGUUGGUAGAAGGUAAAUCAACUCUCAUGCAUGCCCUUUUCCAUAUCAUGGAUCCUACUGUCCAAAUAAACCUUCACCCUCUAGGAGAGUACAGUGACAAUAAUAUCUGGGAGGUAUUCUCGAUGUUCAGAUGCUCAUUACUUGUGAUUUCUCAAAUUACUAAUCUUCCCACUGAUACUUUGCAAACCUUGUACUGGCAACAAUGGUUGUGUGCACUUCUCGAAUACAGAGGCCCUAUGAUCUUCUAAACUUAUCUGAAAAAUAUUAUUCGACUUUUCAGAUCUUGAAUUACUGUCAGCUAGGAGAUGAAGUUCGGAGAAAGGAGCUAAAACAUGACUCGCAAGGUCUGCUCUAUAUUGUACCAUACAGUUCGUAUUCUGGUAGUCUUGCUUCUUCCAAAAUUUCUAAAAUUUGAAAUUACCCUCGAAGUAGUAGAGAAUGGAGAAAACUGGAGUGUGGGCCAGUGUAAGCUUAUGUCUCGGUAGGGUGAUUCUUAGGUGGACCAAGAUACUGGUCUCAUCUGAAGUGGUUUGGAGUGGACGGGGAGUACAAUGUCAUGGUCAUUGAUCUUCUUGGUCCAAGUCUGAAGGACUUGUUCAACUAUUGCAACAGAAAAUUUACCCUUAAAACAGUACUUCUGCUUGUUGAUCACAUGAUCGCCAGGGUAGAGUACAUGCACUUGAGGGGCUUUUUCUUCAUCGUGAUAUAAAGCCAGACAACUUCCUUAUAGGUUUAGGCCGUACAAGAAGCAGGCCUAGAUGUGGAGUGUGGAGCAACCAAGGCCGACCAAGUUGUUGGAGGACAAAUUUUCUCUGUUCUCAAAGCUUGUGGUGGAAUACAUGAUGAGGUUGAUGCACCGUUGAGCCAGUGUCACAAAUGUUAUCAAAUGAAAAAUUCUCCUUAACCAAAUUGUUGUAUGCAAAUAUUAGGAAGGUACUACACCUCUUUGAUUCGUCGGAUCUGGUGAAGAAGCUGUCAUGUAAUGUGACAUUUGUAUAGCUAGGCGCACUACUGGGCAUCGAAGGUCGUGCCGGCUCUCCACUUAUUUCCUCAGGCGGCGUCCUUCUGCCAAUGGGGCCUUUGAGAGCGAGGAGCUUAAGAUUUAGAGGAGAAUAGAAGGCUGAGGCCGGGGAAGCCAGCAUAUCAUGAACUAACUGGAGGAGCUGAGCUGGAUUUGUAGGGUGUGCUCCACUGACCAGCUUCUCUCGUCUACCCGGAUGAUGAUAGUAUGUAAAGGAAUGAAUAAAUACUUCUCAUCAGGGAUAAAAG